UAGAACGCUGGCGGCAGGCCUAUACAUGCAAGUCGUACCACGGUACCCGUAAGCUUGCUCCUUUGCUGACGAGUGCCCUCCGGGUACCACUUGGGCCGUAAACUGCCCGAUGGACGGGGAUAACUUCGGUCGACCGUAACUAAUUCCCCUUAUCGUCGCAGGCCUUUUUGGGGGGACUUUCGGGCCUCUUGCCAUCACAAUGUGCCCAGAAGGGAUUAGCUAGUAUGUGGGGUAACGGCUCACCUAGGCGACUAUCCCUAGCUGGUCUGAGAGGAUGACCAGCCCCACUGGAACUGAAACCCGGUCCACACUCCUACGGGAGGCAGCAGUGGGGAAUAUUGCACAUUGGGCGCAAGCCUGAUGCACCCGUGCCGCGUGUAUGAAGAAGGCCUUCGGGUUGUAAAGUACUUACCGCGAGUAGGAAGGCGUUGUGGUUAAUAACCGCAACGAUUGACGUUACUCCCAUAAAAACCCGGCUAAUUCCUGACCACCCCCGCGGUAAUACGGAGGGUGCAAGCGUUAAUCGGAUUACUGGGC
This 537-nucleotide ribosomal RNA is filed under the name Citrobacter sp. HPC 560. RNAcentral's name for it is "bacterial SSU rRNA". It matches the Rfam family "Bacterial small subunit ribosomal RNA", at positions 29 to 559 of the family's 1533-position model. Lineage: Bacteria; Pseudomonadati; Pseudomonadota; Gammaproteobacteria; Enterobacterales; Enterobacteriaceae. The record is from RNAcentral.